Molecule: ribosomal RNA, 714 nt
Filed under: Triticum aestivum (bread wheat)
Lineage: Eukaryota; Viridiplantae; Streptophyta; Magnoliopsida; Poales; Poaceae
Description: partial small subunit ribosomal RNA
Source: RNAcentral
AUGGUAUGUUUUAACUGUCGUGGCCCUGGGCACUACGUGGGCAACUGUGUUAGGCCUAAAGCUUGUUUUAUCAGCCAACAAUCCCACAAUGUGAACAACUGCUCUGUUUGGACUAGGGUUCAACCCACUGCAGCUUUCUUUGGCAGUGGUGCUAGUGGUUUAGGUUUUUACCAUGUUGAAGUUCCUGUGGCAAAUGAAUCCAAAUGGAUCAAUUUCCAGAACUGUGGUGUGGUUAACAUUACCAAAGGUGAGGUGGACAAAGAUAAACUGAUGAACCUUCUGACUGCUACCUUUUGUAAAACAAGGGCUUGGCCUUGGCAGAUUAGGAAGUUAUCAGACAAGGAGUUCUUAGUUAGAUUCCCUCCAUGGAAGAAAGUAGAGGAUUCAAUUGAACUGCAUGGUUUUAGUUUACCCCAAGAUGUUUCUGUUAACAUGACUGAAUGGGCUGGGUCUUGUGACCCUUUUGGUGAGCUUACUAAGGCAUACAUGCUUGAGGGGAUUCCUCCCAUGUGGUGCUCUUGGAAAGUGUUUACACAAAUUGCAUCAAUGUUUGGAGUUCUCACUGAUGUGGAUUGGAAUGGUAUGUUCAGGACAUUUUAUGAGAAUGUCAGGAUUAAGAUUGCUUGUAGAGACCCUAAGAAAAUUCCUUUUGAGAGGUUAAUUGAGAUGAAGAAGAAGCUAUUCUUGCUUGGCUUCACUUUGGAAUGCUUUGAG